This 256-nucleotide ribosomal RNA is filed under the name Priestia megaterium. Its description in RNAcentral is "Bacillus megaterium partial 16S ribosomal RNA". It matches the Rfam family "Bacterial small subunit ribosomal RNA", at positions 564 to 817 of the family's 1533-position model. The record is from RNAcentral. Lineage: Bacteria; Bacillati; Bacillota; Bacilli; Caryophanales; Bacillaceae.
GGAGCGCGCGCAGGCGGUUUCUUCUGUCUGAUGUGAAAGCCCACGGCUCAACCGUGGAGGGUCAUUGGAAACUGGGGAACUUGAGUGCCCAAAAGAAAAGCGGAAUUCCACGUGUAGCGGUGAAAUGCGUAGAGAUGUGGAGGAACACCAGUGGCGAAGGCGGCUUUUUGGUCUGUAACUGACGCUGAGGAGCGAAAACGUGGGGAGCAAACAAGAUUAUAUACCCUGGUGGUCCACGCCGCAAACGAUGAUUGCU